Molecule: ribosomal RNA, 253 nt
Filed under: uncultured bacterium
Lineage: Bacteria
Description: partial 16S ribosomal RNA
Rfam family: Bacterial small subunit ribosomal RNA
Source: RNAcentral
UACGUAGGGGGCUAGCGUUGUCCGGAAUCAUUGGGCGUAAAGCGCGUGUAGGCGGCCCGGUAAGUCCGCUGUGAAAGUCGGGGGCUCAACCCUCGAAAGCCGGUGGAUACUGUCGGGCUAGAGUACGGAAGAGGCGAGUGGAAUUCCUGGUGUAGCGGUGAAAUGCGCAGAUAUCAGGAGGAACACCCAUUGCGAAGGCAGCUCUCUGGGCCGUAACUGACGCUGAGGAGCGAAAGCAUGGGGAGCGAACAGG